AUUGAACGCUGGCGGCAUGCCUUACACAUGCAAGUCGAACGGCAGCACGGGUGCUUGCACCUGGUGGCGAGUGGCGAACGGGUGAGUAAUACAUCGGAACAUGUCCUGUAGUGGGGGAUAGCCCGGCGAAAGCCGGAUUAAUACCGCAUACGAUCCACGGAUGAAAGCGGGGGACCUUCGGGCCUCGCCCUAUAGGGUUGGCCGAUGGCUGAUUAGCUAGUUGGUGGGGUAAAGGCCUACCAAGGCGACGAUCAGUAGCUGGUCUGAGAGGACGACCAGCCACACUGGGACUGAGACACGGCCCAGACUCCUACGGGAGGCAGCAGUGGGGAAUUUUGGACAAUGGGCGAAAGCCUGAUCCAGCAAUGCCGCGUGUGUGAAGAAGGCCUUCGGGUUGUAAAGCACUUUUGUCCGGAAAGAAAUCCUUGGCUCUAAUACAGUCGGGGGAUGACGGUACCGGAAGAAUAAGCACCGGCUAACUACGUG
RNAcentral lists this ribosomal RNA (486 nucleotides) under uncultured bacterium. Its description in RNAcentral is "partial 16S ribosomal RNA". It matches the Rfam family "Bacterial small subunit ribosomal RNA", at positions 30 to 507 of the family's 1533-position model. The record is from RNAcentral.